Molecule: non-coding RNA, 106 nt
Organism: Gossypium hirsutum (cotton)
Lineage: Eukaryota; Viridiplantae; Streptophyta; Magnoliopsida; Malvales; Malvaceae
Source: Rfam
AAUUUAUGGUGUGGGCAGUUUUGAAUAAACUUUUUGAAGUGCUCCCAUGACUCAUUAAAACUUUCCUCUUCCAUCUAUCUAAAGAUAACAAUCUCUCUUCUUAGUU